AACGAACGCUGGCGGCAUGCCUAACACAUGCAAGUCGAACGACACCUCCGGGUCAAGUGGCGCACGGGUUCGUAACGCGUGGGAUCCUGCCCUUAGGUUUGCCAUAACUCCCCGGAUGGGGUGCUAAUACCGGCGAUUGUCUUCGGACCAAAGAUUUAUUGCCUUAGGAUGGGCCCGCGUGGGCUUAGCUGGUUGGUAGGGUAAGUGCCUACCAGAGCGACGUUCCAUAGCUGGUCUGUGAGGAUGCUCAGCCACACUGGGACUGAGACACGGCCCAGACUCUUGCGGGAGGCGGCAGUGGGGAAUAUUGGACAAUGGCCGAAAGCAUGAUCCAGCAAGGCUGCGUGAGUGAUGAAGGCCGUAGGGUUGUAAAGCUCUUUUACCCGGGAUGAUAAUGACAGUACCGUAAGAAUAAGCUCCGGCUAACUCCGUG
Molecule: ribosomal RNA, 433 nt
Filed under: uncultured bacterium
Lineage: Bacteria
Description: partial 16S ribosomal RNA
Rfam family: Bacterial small subunit ribosomal RNA
Source: RNAcentral